AGAGCUGCCGCCAUUUUGCGGGAAGAGGAGCUGCUCUACCUGCAGUGCUGCUUUUCUUGCCUAGACUCUAGGAAAUAUCCGAGCUCCACUCCCCACAACAUACUCAAAGGAACGGAGAGAACUGGGACCCCCCUGCGGGGACCCGGAACUGAUCUGACAGGAUGGCAUCUGAUGACUUUGAUAUAGUGAUUGAGGCCAUGCUGGAAGCUCCCUAUAAAAAAGAAGAGGAUGAGCAACAAAGGAAAGAAGUUAAAAAGGAUUAUCCUAGCAAUACCACCAGCAGCACCAGCAACAGUGGCAAUGGGACCAGUGGAAGCAACACCAUCGGGGAGACAAGCAAAAUGUACUCUCUUUCACAGGAAGAAGAGGAGUCGGACCCAUAGUAAAAGCAGGGAUAGAAAGCACAGUCGUAGUCGAGAUCGGGAUCGGUAUAGACGGAGAAAUAGUCGGAGCCGAAGUCGAGGUCGGCAGCGUCGUCACCGUAGCCGUAGCUGGGAUCGUCGACAUAGUAGUGAGUCGCGAAGUCGAGACCGUCGUCGUGAGGAUUGUGUGCGUUACAGGAGUCCUCCACUUGC
This 575-nucleotide small RNA is filed under the name Pongo abelii (Sumatran orangutan). RNAcentral describes it as "processed transcript". The record is from RNAcentral. Lineage: Eukaryota; Metazoa; Chordata; Mammalia; Primates; Hominidae.